Molecule: non-coding RNA, 226 nt
Organism: Pelobates cultripes (western spadefoot toad)
Lineage: Eukaryota; Metazoa; Chordata; Amphibia; Anura; Pelobatidae
Source: the annotation of a GenBank genome assembly
AUAAAAGCCAUUUUACCCAAUCUCCUGGACCUAACAUUCCAAGUCAGGACAGUCACAUUGGAGAACCAGUGCUCAUCACUUUCUAGACCUACAAGUAAGUAAAUAGUACAGCUGAGUCCACUUAAUACAGUAUACAUUGAGGCAAGUCAUUGAAUUGCCACUUAAAGGGAUACUAUAGUGUUAGGAAUAUUAAGUUAUAUUCCUAGCACUAUAGCUCCCUCGUGCC